This 358-nucleotide long non-coding RNA is filed under the name Mytilus galloprovincialis (Mediterranean mussel). Lineage: Eukaryota; Metazoa; Mollusca; Bivalvia; Mytilida; Mytilidae. The record is from RNAcentral.
UUAAUACACCUAAUUUCGGCCAAGCUUAGCGAAAGGUCGUGCGACAUAAUCAGUCAAACAAACUUUAUUAGAUUAACUCUCUAAGGAACUAUCGUUUUCAUUGGUCAAUUCAAACCUUCGACCUCACACCUGCGAAAAUAGAACACACGUACUAUAACGUUAAAUGGACUGAUUAAUAUUCACGUAGCUGGUCAAGGUCGUUUAAAGCUUCCAUCGUCGUAUUCGCAUACAUGAUUCCAAUCAUAAUUCUAGCUUUUAUAAAUGUGCAUGUGAAAUUCAUUGGUUUUAUAAUUUUCUGCAAUUGGUAGUAAAGUUUAAACUUUAAAACCUUAACAGUUUUCACAUCUAAAUGUUCAAU